Molecule: ribosomal RNA, 1166 nt
Filed under: Jacksonvillea apiculata
Lineage: Bacteria; Bacillati; Cyanobacteriota; Cyanophyceae; Desertifilales; Desertifilaceae
Also listed under: 1 other name
Description: 16S ribosomal RNA
Rfam family: Bacterial small subunit ribosomal RNA
Source: RNAcentral
GGGGAAUUUUCCGCAAUGGGCGAAAGCCUGACGGAGCAAGACCGCGUGUGGGAAGAAGGCCUUUGGGUCGUAAACCACUUUAAUCAGGGAAGAAGUCAGUGACGGUACCUGAAGAAAAAGCCUCGGCUAACUCCGUGCCAGCAGCCGCGGUAAUACGGAGGAGGCAAGCGUUAUCCGGAAUCAUUGGGCGUAAAGAGUCCGUAGGUGGCCUCAAAAGUCUGCUGUCAAAGCCUUGGGCUAAACCGAAGAGAGGCAGUGGAAACUAGGAAGCUAGAGUGCGGUAGGGGUAGAGGGAAUUCCCGGUGUAGCGGUGAAAUGCGUAGAGAUCGGGAAGAACACCAGUGGCGAAAGCGCUCUACUGGGCCUGCACUGACACUGAGGGACGAAAGCUAGGGGAGCGAAUGGGAUUAGAUACCCCAGUAGUCCUAGCCGUAAACGAUGGAAACUAGGUGUAGCCCGUAUCGACCCGGGCUGUACCGGAGCUAACGCGUUAAGUUUCCCGCCUGGGGAGUACGCACGCAAGUGUGAAACUCAAAGGAAUUGACGGGGGCCCGCACAAGCGGUGGAGUAUGUGGUUUAAUUCGAUGCAACGCGAAGAACCUUACCAGGGCAAGACAACUUCGGAAGUGUGGGGAAACUCAGAUGUGCCCUUAGGGGAACCGGAGAGCAGUGGUGCAUGGCUGUCGUCAGCUCGUGUCGUGAGAUGUUGGGUUAAGUCCCGCAACGAGCGCAACCCUCGUGCUUAGUUGCCAGUCCCGAAAGGGAGGCACUCUAAGGAGACUGCCGGUGACAAACCGGAGGAAGGUGGGGAUGACGUCAAGUCAGCAUGCCCCUUACGUCCUGGGCGACACACGUACUACAAUGCGGCGGACAAAGGGUAGCGAGCCUGCGAAGGUCAGCCAAUCCCAGAAACUGCCGCUCAGUUCAGAUCGCUCUCUGCAACUCGAGAGCGUGAAGGAGGAAUCGCUAGUAAUCGCCGGUCAGAAUACGGCGGUGAAUCCGUUCCCGGGCCUUGUACACACCGCCCGUCACACCAUGGGAGCUGGCCAUGCCCGAAGUCGUUACUCCAACCUGAAAAGGAGGGGGACGCCGACGGCGGGGCUGGUGACUGGGGUGAAGUCGUAACAAGGUAGCCGUACCGGAAGGUGUGGCUGGAUCACCUCCUU